RNAcentral lists this ribosomal RNA (913 nucleotides) under uncultured marine archaeon. Its description in RNAcentral is "partial 16S ribosomal RNA". It matches the Rfam family "Archaeal small subunit ribosomal RNA", at positions 1 to 921 of the family's 1478-position model. The record is from RNAcentral.
UUCCGGUUGAUCCUGCCGGACCUGACUGCUAUCGGAUUGAUACUAAGCCAUGCGAGUCAUUGUAGCAAUACAAGGCAUACGGCUCAGUAACGCGUAGUCAACCUAACCUAUGGACGGGAAUAACCUCGGGAAACUGAGAAUAAUGCCCGAUAGAACAUUAUGCCUGGAAUGGUUUAUGUUCCAAAUGAUUUAUCGCCGUAGGAUGGGACUGCGGCCUAUCAGUUUGUUGGUGAGGUAAUGGCCCACCAAGACUAUUACAGGUACGGGCUCUGAGAGGAGUAGCCCGGAGAUGGGUACUGAGACACGGACCCAGGCCCUAUGGGGCGCAGCAGGCGAGAAAACUUUGCAAUGUGCGAAAGCACGACAAGGUUAAUCCGAGUGAUUUCUGCUAAAGAGAUCUUUUGUUAGUCCUAGAAACACUAACGAAUAAGGGGUGGGCAAGUUCUGGUGUCAGCCGCCGCGGUAAAACCAGCACCUCAAGUGGUCAGGAGGAUUAUUGGGCCUAAAGCAUCCGUAGCCGGCUCUGUAAGUUUUCGGUUAAAUCUAUAUGCUCAACGUAUAGGCUGCCGAAAAUACUGCACAGCUAGGGAAUGGGAGAGGUAGACGGUACUCGGUAGGAAGGGGUAAAAUCCUUUGAUCUAUCGAUGACCACCUGUGGCGAAGGCGGUCUACCAGAACAUGUUCGACGGUGAGGGAUGAAAGCUGGGGGAGCAAACCGGAUUAGAUACCCGGGUAGUCCUAGGUGUAAACGCUGUGGACUUGAUGUUGGGGGCGCUCCGAGCGCACUCAGUGUCGAAGCGAAGGUGAUAAGUCCACUGCCUGGGGAGUACGGUCGCAAGGCUGAAACUUAAAGGAAUUGGCGGGGGAGCACCGCAACCUGAGGAUUGUGCGGUUUAAUUGGAUUCAACGCCGG